GAUUUGUCUAAAAUACAUAAAUUAUCUGAAAAGAAGCAAAUCUUGUUAGGAAAGUUGGAAUCUAAUCAGAAAGAGCUACAAGAAGCCCAGCAACUUGAAGCUGCCGAGCCAGGCAGUGUCAGUGCACACAGGCUGGAGGAGUUGUCUGAGCAAAGGAAACAGUUGACUGCAGAUCUAGAGACAACACUGGAUGACAUAAAAAAUACAUAUCGUUGUGCUUCAGAAAAAGCUAUAUAUGUACCACCUAUUGAAAGGGAAUUGUCUAAAAUACACAAACUAUCCGAAAAGAAGCAACUGUUGUUAGAAAAGUUGGAGUCUAAUAAAAAAGAGCUACAAGAAGCUCAACAACU
This is a long non-coding RNA of Anolis sagrei ordinatus, 350 nucleotides long. RefSeq lists it as uncharacterized. NCBI's taxonomy places the organism in Eukaryota, Metazoa, Chordata, Lepidosauria, Squamata, Anolidae. The record is from RefSeq and is a predicted model, not a curated record.